AACCGGUCAGGGCCUGAUCUCGCUUUUGGUUUUAGAUUUGGGUCUCCUCCUCUCUAUUAUUAAAGACCUUAAAGACCAGAUUGAGAGGUCUUUUUGAGGGGUUUGUGGAUCUGUGUCUGUUUUUUGAAGUUUGUGGUGUAUGGUGGGGUUGAUUGGGCUAUAUAAUGGGUGUUCAGAAGAAGGGGAGGUGGGGUCUAAGGUGGUAAAUUUCUGUAAGGCCUCCAUGAGGCAGGAGAGGAAGAGAGCUGGGUAUUCAUCAGGGCCUUGAGUAAUUUUAUUGUUUGUUAUAGUUGACCACCAUAUGGGCAGCCUUUUUUAUUUCAGAGAGGAAGGGAGAGGGAGAGAGAUAGAAACAUCAAUGAUGAGAGAGAAUCAUUGACCGGCUGACUCUUGCACGCCCACUACUGGAAUUUGAUCCUGCAAUCUGGGCAUGUGCCCUUGACCAAAAUCAAACACGGGACCCUUCAGUCUGCAGGCCAUUGCUCUACCCAAACCAGCUAGGGCUGGGCAGCCUUUUUGAGUCCAGGUGAUUAUAUGGCUACAGAGUUGGCACCCUGGAGAAUUAACCUGGUAGUCCCAUCUUGGGUCAGUUUGGGGGACUGUGUCAGCGCCAACCAGGUUGGCUGCUGAGUGUCUAUGGAGGGCAUUGGCAUGGUCUUGAGCUAUUAGCUAAACACCCUCCUUUCCCUCUGGCAUUAGAGAGAAGUACAGAAUGGCAUAGAUAUCGUGCCCAUAGGACUGGGUCAGAUAUUCAAAUUCCUUGGUAAAGGUGGUCAGGUUGGUAGAGAAAGACCCAAAACGCCUCUUAAUCUGUGUGAAGUCAGACCUGGAAAAUGGGAUGUGUAUCCGGACAAUACCCUCAGUUCCUGCUACCUCCCACAGCGGUAGAAUGGGUGCGGGAAUAGAAGUGGCUGUUGAGGAAGGUGUCGAGAGCCAGUGUUAGGUUGGAGAAGGCUGUUUUGGAACUCACAUUCUCAGAAUUUGGACUCUCAGAGGCUAGGGGAGAAGUUGGUUGCCAGUUAGGAGAGUCUGGGUUUUGGGAACCUACUGCAGGUGAGGGUGUAUAAAAGGAUGGAGGUUGGUGGUCUUCUGGGUCAAAAGUAGAUACAGAAUGAGAAAUGUGAGGGGUAUGAUGUUUUGUGUGAAGGAGAAGGAUCCGAUGGGUAGAGCAGGACUGAGAGAAAGGAUUGGGACUGAAGGUAAAAAAAGGUCUGGGCAUAGGGAGUCUCUGACCAUUUUCCAUGGCGCUCACAGCAAUUAUCUAAAUUGUGCAAUGUGCUAAAAUUGAAAGUGCCCUUUUAAGGCCCUUUUAAGGCCACUGAGACUUAUUAUUUAGUUUAUAUCUUGGCCAAACAGUGUUACAAAAGAAAAUGAGGUGCUUGGGCAUGAUCUCUCCCACGAGUGUGCAGAGGGAGUAUAGCGUGGCCCAUGAGAGAAGAGUGAGUGACAGACCACAAAUCCAAAGGUGGUUGUUUAGGGCAGGUGUCCCCGCUGCUAAACAAAUCACCACAAAAAAUGAGGGGUGACCCUCUGGACUGGGUGUCCCCAAUCCAGAAGGACCCAAAGCCAAUCAGCUGAGGAGUCUUCUGGCCUAGCCCUAGGACUUUUGAGAAGUCAGUGAGAGUGUGGGCAGAAGACUUUAGGUGAGGGAAAUUGUUGAACAUCACUCACCUAGAGAAGAUUGGCUGGUGUGGGAUGAAGGGUCAGCAAUGGAGAAGAGGUUCCUGAUCUGGCGUCCUCCCUGGCUGGUUUGGGAGGGCCCAUAAGAGAGGGGAGGAUUAAUUGAGGUCAGUGAUCAUGUCACUAGAGUAGGAUUCAGAGGUAAGCCCAGGACAAGCUGCUGCUGCCUACUGCUCUCUGAGUAGCAAACUCGGGGUGACCGAAGCCAGGGUGAUGGCUCCCCUUCCCUGUGGAACCCUCCUGGGUUUCCACACCAAAUGUUAGGGUCACCAAAGGAGGAAUGCAUGAGGCCAAAAAGGGUAAGGGACUAUAAAUUUAUUAGGUCAUCUGGAUACCAGGUGUGCUGAGCUCCUAAAUGGUGCCAGCACCCAGGGACAGGGAGUCAGAGAUUUUAAAGGACUCUAGGCCGGCUUUUUCUAGGUGGAGAAUUCUCUGGUCCAGAUUCUAGGAAGGUCCGGAGGGGAAGGAUAAUGGUCUUAGCAAGUGGAAUGCAAGUGAAAUGUCCAUUAUGUAGUGGUCUAAAGGUCAGUUUCCAGGGGAGGGGAUAUUGAUUAAAUUAUUUGAUCAGACCUAAUAGCCCUGCGGGGUAAGGUUCUUGUUUUCCCAGUUUUACCCCUUGCUAGGCACCCAGGACUUCUUGGCAUGGUGAGUUUCUGUACUUGGCCUAUCAUCCUUGUUUUGCUCAUCUCUGUCUAACCGACCACAAUGCUAGUUAGAACAAUUAGGAAAGAAAAAGAAAUAAAAGGCACCCAAAUCAGAAAGAAAGGAAAAUUGUCUCUAUUUGCAAUGAGAUGCUAUUAUAUAUA
Long non-coding RNA from Myotis myotis, 2486 nucleotides. RefSeq lists it as uncharacterized. The transcript has 2 exons. The record is from RefSeq and is a predicted model, not a curated record. Lineage: Eukaryota; Metazoa; Chordata; Mammalia; Chiroptera; Vespertilionidae.